UUUAGUUUAGUUUAAAAAAAACAAUAGCUUGUCGAGCAUUAAAUACAACAAAUAAUGUAUUGUAACUAAAU
This 71-nucleotide transfer RNA is filed under the name Hypselodoris apolegma. Its description in RNAcentral is "tRNA-Asp". Lineage: Eukaryota; Metazoa; Mollusca; Gastropoda; Nudibranchia; Chromodorididae. The record is from RNAcentral.